UGGGGAAUUUUGGACAAUGGGGGCAACCCUGAUCCAGCCAUCCCGCGUGUGCGAUGAAGGCCUUCGGGUUGUAAAGCACUUUGGCAGGGAAGAAACAGCCUGGGAUAAUACCCCCGGGCGACUGACGGUACCUGCAGAAUAAGCACCGGCUAACUACGUGCCAGCAGCCGCGGUAAUACGUAGGGUGCAAGCGUUAAUCGGAAUACUGGGCGUAAAGCGUGCGCAGGCGGUUCGGAAAGAAAGGUGUGAAAUCCCAGGGCUUAACCUUGGAACUGCACUUUUAACUACCGACUAGAGUACGUCAGAGGGGGGUAGAAUUCCACGUGUAGCAGUGAAAUGCGUAGAGAUGUGGAGGAAUACCGAUGGCGAAGGCAGCCCCCUGGGAUGAUACUGACGCUCAUGCACGAAAGCGUGGGGAGCAAACAGGAUUAGAUACCCUGGUAGUCCACGCCCUAAACGAUGUCAACUAGCUGUUGGGGUUUAUUAACCUUAGUAGCGCAGCUAACGCGUGAAGUUGACCNCCUGGGGAGUACGGUCGCAAGAUUAAAACUCAAAUGAAUUGACGGGGGUCAUAGCUGUUUCCUG
Molecule: ribosomal RNA, 585 nt
Filed under: uncultured bacterium
Lineage: Bacteria
Description: partial 16S ribosomal RNA
Rfam family: Bacterial small subunit ribosomal RNA
Source: RNAcentral